ACGGAGCCAUCCUUGAAAUACCACCCUUUAACGUUUGAUGUUCUAACCCGGGUCCAUAAUCUGGAUCGGGGACCGUGUCUGGUGGGUAGUUUGACUGGGGCGGUCUCCUCCCAAAGAGUAACGGAGGAGCACGAAGGUUGGCUAAGCAUGGUCGGACAUCAUGCGGUUAGUGCAAAGGCAUAAGCCAGCUUGACUGCGAGAGUGACGGCUCGAGCAGGUACGAAAGUAGGUCUUAGUGAUCCGGUGGUUCUGAAUGGAAGGGCCAUCGCUCAACGGAUAAAAGGUACUCCGGGGAUAACAGGCUGAUACCGCCCAAGAGUUCAUAUCGACGGCGGUGUUUGGCACCUCGAUGUCGGCUCAUCACAUCCUGGGGCUGAAGUAGGUCCCAAGGGUAUGGCUGUUCGCCAUUUAAAGUGGUACGCGAGCUGGGUUUAGAACGUCGUGAGACAGUUCGGUCCCUAUCUGCCGUGGGCGCUGGAAGAUUGAGAGGGGUUGCUCCUAGUACGAGAGGACCGGAGUGAACGCACCACUGGUGUACGGGUUGUGAUGCCAAUUGCAUUGCCCGGUAGCUAAGUGCGGAAGAGAUAACCGCUGAAAGCAUCUAAGCGGGAAACUUGCCUCGAGAUGAGUCUUCCCUGAUUCCCAGAGAAUCCUGAAGGAACGUUUGAGACUAAGACGUUGAUAGGCUGGGUGUGUAAGCGCAGCGAUGCGUUGAGCUGACCAGUACUAAUGAACCGAGAGGCUUAACCUG
This 751-nucleotide ribosomal RNA is filed under the name Morganella morganii. RNAcentral describes it as "partial 23S ribosomal RNA". It matches the Rfam family "Bacterial large subunit ribosomal RNA", at positions 2180 to 2925 of the family's 2925-position model. The record is from RNAcentral. Lineage: Bacteria; Pseudomonadati; Pseudomonadota; Gammaproteobacteria; Enterobacterales; Morganellaceae.